UACGUAGGGGGCAAGCGUUGUCCGGAUUUACUGGGCGUAAAGCGCGCGUAGGCGGAACGAUCAGUCCGGUCUGAAAUCCCCGGGCUCAACCUGGGAAUGGCGAUGGUGACUGCAAGGCUAGAGUUUGGCAGAGGGGGGUAGAAUUCCACGUGUAGCAGUGAAAUGCGUAGAUAUGUGGAGGAACACCGAUGGCGAAGGCAGCCCCCUGGGUCAAAACUGACGCUCAUGCACGAAAGCGUGGGGAGCGAACAGG
This 253-nucleotide ribosomal RNA is filed under the name uncultured bacterium. RNAcentral's name for it is "partial 16S ribosomal RNA". It matches the Rfam family "Bacterial small subunit ribosomal RNA", at positions 524 to 776 of the family's 1533-position model. The record is from RNAcentral.